Long non-coding RNA from Crotalus tigris (Tiger rattlesnake), 535 nucleotides. RefSeq lists it as uncharacterized. Lineage: Eukaryota; Metazoa; Chordata; Lepidosauria; Squamata; Viperidae. The transcript is spliced from 3 exons. The record is from RefSeq and is a predicted model, not a curated record.
GGAAGCGGCAGGCGCAUAUCCCGGAUGUGAAGUCACAAGACGAGGGAGUGCAUUACGAGGGGAGAGAACGACAGUGGGUGGGGUGAGUUCGGGCGUAGGAGAAGGUAGGACGGUUAUGGGUUCGUUUCCCUUAAGCGACAGCCGGGGAUGCUUUCCGUCCAAGUGUUCUAAGAUUGGAGGAUCCAGUGUGCGAUUCGGGUUUCCCAGCAGGUUUCUGGCGGCAGAGUUAUUGGAGACAGCAUUGCAGCUUCUAUAGCGCUCUGGACCACCUCUUGGAUAUCUGGAUGGUCGAGAGGGAUCUCCGACUCUGUUUGUGCUGUUGAGAUGUCGGCUUAUUAUAUAGGAAAAAAAAAAUCCAUGCACUGAUGAGCACAUCCUGCCAUUGAAAAGAAUUUAUUUGGAUUGAUACCAACACAAUAAAGAAUGCUUAUGCCAAGUGCUAGGCUGCAUUAAGAGAGGGAUAGAAUCAAGAUCUGAAGUAUUAAUACCACUUUACAAUGCCUUGGUAAGGCCACACUUGGAAUACUGCAUCCAG